AGUCUCAUUCGCCUUUCGCAGUUUGAACCAUCCUCCUUCCUGCUGCCUGGAUUCGGUUACAUCGUCGUGAGUCAGAAGACGUGACGAACACGAACACUCGCACACUGAGGUGACCGAGAGAAGACGGUCUGCGAGGAUAGUCUGCUUCCGGGGUGGCAGGCAAAUGUUAGACGUGUGAGGCGACAGACGUGUGAGCCUCUCGCUGGUGAAUAAGUGAGCACACCCGUGUCCUUGAUCUUCGUGGCUGGCGCUUACAGACGAGUGGCACCUGAAUAGCAGGCCCUGUGUUGCUGAAGUAAUAGACGAUCAGCCUGCAGGGACACAAUAUCCUCCAAUUUGGAUGAUUCUUUUUUACCUUUCUUUUGGGACUGGCACUGUUUUUUUUUCACUUGCUCGUUUGUUGCCCUUGGCCAGUGCCUCAUACAUAAAAAAAGUAAAAAUAAAUAAACAAAUUAAAAUAAAUGAAAAAUAUAAAUAAAUAAAAAAAUAAAUAAAUAAAAAAUAAGAAUCUUACGACCUCCCCUUCCCAGCGCCUGGCUCAGGAAAGAUCAGGCUUGCAGUGGGUGAGGCGGGUCACCUGGUGGUCCAGGAGUGUUCCUCAUGAACUGCCGCCAAUCAUAUGUACCGGAUAAAGCAAUGCUGCAUGAAACACUGACGAAAAAUGCAGCGCCAUUCCCAGUCUGCAUCUUGAAUUACAGUGGAUAUCUUUUGACUGACACGGAAUCUUGAAAAUAUAUAUCGGCAAUGUCAUGUUUAAAUAAAGAUACUUCGAUCCCCAGAUUUGGCUUUAUUUCUCUGAAAAGACAAGCAGGACAGACGACAAGACAAGACAAGACAAUACAAACACACACACACAGAAAAAAAAAGACAAAAACAGACAAACAAAUACAAGGCAAUACAGAAACACACACAAAGGCAAGACAGACAGACAAAGAAAAAAAAAACAAGACGAAGGUAAACAAAGACAAAAGAAACAAAGAUAAGGCAAUACAGAAACACAGACAGAAAGGCAAGACAAGAUAAAAACGCAAGAAAACAAAGACAAACACAAGAAACACGGAUAAACAGAUAAACGAAGACACGGCAAGACAAACACAGACAGACAGGAGCACAAGACGAAACGGAAAGAGGCAAAACAAACACAGACAAAGACGAGACAAAAUGAAACAAACGGUCAGAAAGCUAAGACAAAAACACAAAACAACAAAACAAACACAGGAGAGACGGAGGGAUAAGACAAAAGACAAAAACACAGACAGACCCAGUGCCCUUAAUAAUACAUGUAGGUUAGAUCACAAGUCCUCAAUGAUUCUGAAGCUGGUGUAGUGUUUCCGUGAUGCUCAUGUCGGCAUACCGCCUUGAGGUCUUGCAAGUAAUCUUGUUUAUGUAAUAAGACCACGCCGCUCAUCCAUCGCCCGCACCAGCUGCAUAUUUCCAGCUAUAACACAUACACACACACACACACACACA
Molecule: long non-coding RNA, 1470 nt
Organism: Scylla paramamosain (green mud crab)
Lineage: Eukaryota; Metazoa; Arthropoda; Malacostraca; Decapoda; Portunidae
Exons: 2
Source: RefSeq, a predicted model, not a curated record